GACGAACGCUGGCGGCGUGCUUAACACAUGCAAGUCGAACGGACAGGCCCUGCUUUUGUUGGUUGCUCGAGUGGCGAACGGGGGAGUAACACGUGAGUAACCUGCCCUUGACUUUGGGAUAACUUCUGGAAACUGGGGCUAAUACCGGAUAGGAGCUUCUGCUGCGUGGGGUGGGUUGGAAAGUUUCGGCUGUUGUGGAUGGAGUCGCUGCUUAUCAGCUUGUUUGUGAGGUAGGUGCUGACCAAGGCUUUGACGGGUAGCCGGCCUGAGCGGGGAACCGGCGUCAUGGGGCCUGCGGUACGGACCAGACUCGAAUGGGAGGCAGCAGUGGGGAACCUGACGCAGUGGCCGGACGCGUGUUGCAGAAACCCCGCGUGCGUAAUGCCGGCUUUCGAGUUGUAAACCGCUUUCGACUGUGACGAAGCGUGAGUGACGGUAAUGAGUAAGGAAGCCCCGGCUAACUACGUG
Molecule: ribosomal RNA, 468 nt
Filed under: uncultured bacterium
Lineage: Bacteria
Description: partial 16S ribosomal RNA
Rfam family: Bacterial small subunit ribosomal RNA
Source: RNAcentral